UGAAAUAAUACAAUAUGAAAUGUCAGGGAAGCUGUUUUUUAAGCUCUAAAAUAUUGCUUUGGCUAGAAAUUGCAGUCUCAGACUUUUGUUGAAAAUCCUGUUGGUGAGAGAAGUGGGAAACUUUUAGAAGACAUGUGUGACCUAUUAAGGUUUUCCUAACCAAAGUGGUUCCCAAAAAAUAACCAACCAGGAAACACGAGGGAAACAUUCUGCUUUUGCCUGGUUCAGUCCGACCCUUUCUCGAAGACGUUCUGCAUUUAUUUGGUUUGUAAAUGUGACACCACAAAGCACCUACAGUUGACAGAACUGAAAUGCUAAUCCUAAAGUCAAUGAAGAACUGAAACAAAGGCUGCCGUCCCCUGUAAAGCACCAUUGUUCAGAGACCACACCACAACUUGGAUCCUCUUUAGUUGAAACUACCUCAGCUACAUCCCAGUGUCACAGUUUAUCAAAAGCCCUGGAGGAGAAACUCAUACAAGCAUCUAAGACUCCCAAGCCCAGAGAAGGUUUGACGCUCAGACUCCCACCACCCCCGCCCGUGCCAGGCCCAGUUGCAGUUGACUUGAGAAUCAUGGAGGAGGAGAGAUUGUCUCCACAGAGACCCGCAGCACAGCAAAAGCAGGAUAUUACCGAGACAGCCAGCAGUCCGGUCCACACACCUCAAGUCAGCAGGGCAGGGUCUGCCACACUCAGGUCAGGAGAACAGAGACUCACACACACGGACACACUCACUUACACUGAGUAAUAACAAUCCAAUCCUGAAAAAUUUAGUCUAAUUUUAGUUUGCAG
Long non-coding RNA from Cyprinus carpio (common carp), 789 nucleotides. The record is from Ensembl. NCBI's taxonomy places the organism in Eukaryota, Metazoa, Chordata, Actinopteri, Cypriniformes, Cyprinidae.